AUAAAGAUGCCCUUGGAAUAUUCAUAUUUUUGAUUUUUUUCAAGAGGAGUUUUUCAGACUGAUUUACUGUCAUGGUGACUUAACAAUAACAACAACAACUAAGCUUUUAAUCCCCAUGCUAGUUGCGGUUGACUAUAUGGAUUCUUUGUCACCAUUCAGUUCUGUUAGAUGUCAAAUCUACACUAAUAUUUAAGAUUUGUAAAUCCUUUAGUAUUAUUUGUCUCCAUGUCAUCUUAGGUUUUCCUUUUUCUCUUCCUCUUCUCACUCUUUCUCUAUUAACUUAUCAUUUUCCAUACUGGGGAAUUUGAAGCUUUAUGUUAGACAUGACUAAGCCAUCUUCAUGACUCUUUCUCAUUUUAUCUCCAUUAUAUGCUACAUGCAUCCUAUGAAGGAUGUGAUUAUUCAUGUUCUAUCCAUUUUUGUAUUACCAAAACCUUGAUGUCAUUUCUACCACAUUCUUCUUAUGUGUAUAUUGUACCUUAAAUAGGAAAAUAGAAGUUUCCUUUAUGAUCCUAUUAAUAAUGGUCCUUGAAACUCUUGCCUACUGAAGGUGAAUAGUAAAACAAGAAUUGGAAUAGUAAAUUUUAUGACACAUGUAAGACGUAACUCUCGUACGAGUCAAGCUUUAAAGUUGGCUUACUGAAAUUCCUGAUAGCUCCUUCGUGCCUCUUAGGGGAUAUAUAUCUCAGCUAAUUAUAUCUUGCAGGAAUAUAUUCAGCUUGUGAUCUUUAAAUUUUAGCUUACAUAGAAUAUAGUUCUAAGGCAUGAAGAAAGCAAGCUGCUGUCAGACCGUGGCUCAUUUUAAGAAGUUGCUUGUCUAACUGUUGUUAUGACUAAUAAGGAGAAUACGGCGCUGUACUUGUAUGUGAGGGUGGUCUGUGGUAGUUGGCUGAAGAACUGAGGUUGUUAAGGGAAGUUGUAUUGGUGAGGAGUGAGAACAGCUUUAGGAAGGGCUGCUAGCUGUAUAAAUAACAACUAUUGUAGCUAAAGAAGGACAUUGUGAAAAUAUCAGGAAUCUAUUCAAUCUCCCUUAUUCUCUCUAUUUCUCUCUCUACUUUCAGUUUCUAUCUAGUUUCUCUCCAGUUUCUGCCAUUCUCUGGAAUCAAGAAUCCUCCUCAACAACAGUUGGUAAUGAAAUGGAUUUUGGUUGGACAACGUUACAAAUCUGCUUAAGGAGAGUUGCAAUAAUGGUUCAUUGCAUGUCAGGCACUAAAUUCCAGGUUCUUCUUUCUUGAAAUUUCUCUUUUCUCUCUUUCUCUUUUUCUUCUUAUUUCUUCCCUCUAAUUCUUCUUUCUUCCUUCUUUAAAAUUUCUUCCCUUCUUUUUCCUUUAUUUUCUUGUUUCCUCUUAACAGCACCUGCCAUUUUUUCUUUCUUGAAAUCUAGAAUUCUAUCCUUUCCCAAGAACAUUGAAAUUGGGUUGCUUUCUUCCACAAAUUUCUUGAAGUUGCCAAAAGUAUUUGCAAUUAAAAAGCAAGGCCUUGCAACAUAUAUUCAGCUGAAAUGGAAGGAGGGUGGAUUCUAUUCCAAUGAUAAGUGAAACUCCAUAGAGGAUGAAUGGGAAAUAGCAAUAAGGCAAAGAAAGAAAUUCAUCUCCUUGGUGCAAAGGGGAAAAAAAAAUUCAAUUCAACAUUUUGAUUCCACUGGUUUUUUCCUGUUGCAUAUUGAAGUUCACUUUCUGGAGAUGGAGGCCCUAGUUUUUCUGCAAUAUUGUGUUCCUAUUGUUCGUACUUCAGGACAAGAAUGAUUUAAAUAAGCUGGGAAUGUUAUGACUAAUAAGGAAAAUAAGGGGCUGUGAUUGUAUGUGGGGGUGGUCUUUGGUAGUUAGCUGAAGGACUGAGGUUGAAGGGAAGUUGUAUUUUCAGGCACAGUUAAGGGCUAGAAGCUGUGUAAAUAACAACAUAGGUAUUUGAAGUAUAAUAACCAGUCCUACUGCUACCAGUACUAAGAUUAGGAAACUGUAAAUAAGAAAUUACUGAUCCAAUCUAACUAGUAAUAUAAAACUGAUCCAAUCUAGCUAGUAAUAGAAAAUCAUCUCUAACUAGCAAAAUAAAUGGAACUCUUUAAAUAUUCCAGUAAUAAAUAAGAUUUGUAAGAAUUGUUGUAUAUUCUAUUCUGAAUAAAGGUGUUUAUAUACUGAUUAUAAGGCAUUGGUACGAUAACUAAUCAAUCUCCAAAAAAUCCUCUCUAAAUCAAUGGGUAUCAUUGGCCGUGUGAUUUUGCUAUCUAUUAAUUAUUUAUAGAUUAUGUCUACACUAUAACAAUUCCUGAAUAAUAAUAUCAUUCCUAAAUUAUAUACAUCUAAACUUCUUAAUUUUACAAUGAAAAAUUAAAUCAAUAUGAUUCCUAAAUUCAAUAUUAUGAUUGCAUAAACAAAUCUCAAUUAAUGGGCUUAUAUGGAACGUGCCAAAACAAUGUAAAUGUGGAUUACUUGGAUGCAAGUCAUUUAUUAUGCAAUAUCUUCAAAUGGGUUUAGGGAAUUGAUGAUGCGUACACCAUAGUGGAUUUGUAAGGGGGUUAAUGACAUUUCAUCUCAAACUUUUUUAUCUUGUAGGUUAUUGCUUCAAGAAGUUUGACUUUGUAUUUUUUUGCAAAGCUCACUUUACUUUUUCAAAGUGGUUAAUAUUUUUGUAAUGCCAGUAUUAUUUGUACUUUGAUGUAUGAUGGAGGAGUUUUGGCUUCUUUAUCCAUACAACAUAAAAUAUUGAUGAGGUUCUUCAGAAAAUCAAGAACUUGGUUGUUCCAUAUGCAUCUAAUUAUUUAAGAAAGGAGACUUCUUUUCUCUCUCUCUCUCCCCUUUUUAUUUAACUAUUAGUUGCCCCAAGUAGGACUGCGCAUGGUUCCGGGGGUUCCAAACUGAACCGAAGAAUCUUACCAAACUGAAUCGAAAUUGAAAAAUGAUUGAUGGUGUAGGAACCGAACCGUAUCGAACCAAAUUUAUGUAGCUAUUUGGUUAUGUGUGUACAUGUACUUAUAAUUGUUGUUAGUAGCUAUAUGUAUAUAUAUAAAAUAAUAACAUAAAGCUAUUUAUGUUUUAGUCACUAGUCAAUUAUUAAAGGUUUAUAAUGGUAUAAUUCAAUAAAUUUAAUUCGUUAAUUAUAGUUCAUUCUAUUUAAAUAAAUUAUAUUAUACAUCAUCUCCA
RNAcentral lists this long non-coding RNA (3140 nucleotides) under Manihot esculenta (cassava). RNAcentral describes it as "long non-coding RNA (MESC_LNC007860)". The record is from RNAcentral. Lineage: Eukaryota; Viridiplantae; Streptophyta; Magnoliopsida; Malpighiales; Euphorbiaceae.